AAGACCUUGCACUUUUGGAGCGGCCGAUGUCUGAUUAGCUAGUUGGUGGGGUAAUGGCCUACCAAAGCUUCGAUCAGUAGCUGGUCUGAGAGGACGGCCAGCCACACUGGGACUGAGACACGGCCCAGACUCCUACGGGAGGCAGCAGUGGGGAAUUUUGGACAAUGGGCGCAAGCCUGAUCCAGCCAUGCCGCGUGAGUGAAGAAGGCCUUCGGGUUGUAAAGCUCUUUCAGCCGGGAAGAAAAGGUUGCGACUAAUAAUCGCAAUCCAUGACGGUACCGAAAGAAGAAGCACCGGCUAACUACGUGCCAGCAGCCGCGGUAAUACGUAGGGUGCGAGCGUUAAUCGGAAUUACUGGGCGUAAAGGGUGCGCAGGCGGUUUUGUAAGUCAGAUGUGAAAUCCCCGGGCUUAACCCGGGAACU
RNAcentral lists this ribosomal RNA (423 nucleotides) under uncultured bacterium. RNAcentral's name for it is "bacterial SSU rRNA". It matches the Rfam family "Bacterial small subunit ribosomal RNA", at positions 207 to 622 of the family's 1533-position model. The record is from RNAcentral.